CAGCCGCCACGGGAAUACGUAGGGUGCAAGCGUUAAUCGGAAUUACUAGACGUAAAGCGUGCGUAGGCGGUUCGUUAAGUCUGUUGUGAAAGCCCCGGGCUCAACCUGGGAAUGGCAAUGGAUACUGGCGAGCUAGAGUGUGUCAGAGGAUGGUGGAAUUCCCGGUGUAGCGGUGAAAUGCGUAGAGAUCGGGAGGAACAUCAGUGGCGAAGGCGGCCAUCUGGGACAACACUGACGCUGAGGCACGAAAGCGUGGGGAGCAAACAGGAUUAGAGACCCGCGUAGUCCCUGUCUCUUAUAC
RNAcentral lists this ribosomal RNA (301 nucleotides) under uncultured bacterium. RNAcentral's name for it is "partial 16S ribosomal RNA". It matches the Rfam family "Bacterial small subunit ribosomal RNA", at positions 509 to 807 of the family's 1533-position model. The record is from RNAcentral.